AUGGCAGGGUUCUUCGGCACCUGUGCUGCUUCUGAUCACUAUUGUUUGCAGCUCAGAUCUGGAUCAGCUCACCAUGAACUGAUUAGACCAAACAAGUACAGAAGGACCAUGAUCAGGUGCUGCAGCACAGCGAAGGGGAAGACAAGAAGGGACUACUUCCAGGUUCUUGGAGUAGCAACUCAUUCCACACCUCAGGAGAUCAAGGAAGCUUACAGGAAACUCCAGAAGCAACACCAUCCUGAUAUUGCUGGCGACAAGGGCCAUGACCACGCGCUAUUGCUGAAUGAGGCGUAUGAGGUGUUGAUGAGGAGUUCAUCCAGGAAAGCUGAUGGAUUUGGCAAGAGCAGAGGCGGCUUUGGGAGCGGUUACACCGGGGACGGAUACAGUUCUUGGAAUGGGCCUAUCAGGAGCCAGGCUCUCUUCGUGGAUGAGAACAAAUGCAUAGGAUGUAGGGAGUGUGUUCACCAUGCUGGGGAGACGUUUGCCAUGGACGAUGUUCUUGGAAGUGCGCACGUCGAAGUCCAGUUUGGCGACGUGGAGCAGCAGAUCCAGGUGGCUGUGGAGUCUUGCCCUGUGAACUGCAUCCACUGGGUUGGGAGUGAAGAGCUCCCGGUGCUGGAGUUCAUGGCGCGGCCACAGCGCAAGGAAGGGCACGGCGUAUUCGGCGGCGGGUGGGAGAGGCCCAAGGACGUGUUCGCGGCGGCCAGGAACUUCGCCAAGAAACUCGAGAGGCAGGAGCAGCAGGAAAGUUCCAGGGGCGCAAACGGGGGUGAAGAUGUGGAGGCUGAAACGGCAGCGCAGGCCGAAGCGAGACGCCACGCGGGGCAGGAGCUACGGUGGAAGAGUUUGUUCGAUGUUUGGAAUGGGUUGGGAGACUGGAGGAAAUCCGGAACAGACAGGUAG
RNAcentral lists this ribosomal RNA (903 nucleotides) under Triticum aestivum (bread wheat). RNAcentral's name for it is "partial small subunit ribosomal RNA". Lineage: Eukaryota; Viridiplantae; Streptophyta; Magnoliopsida; Poales; Poaceae. The record is from RNAcentral.